CCUACGGGAGGCAGCAGUGAGGAAUAUUGGUCAAUGGGCGCGAGCCUGAACCAGCCAAGUCGCGUGAGGGAAGACGGUCCUAUGGAUUGUAAACCUCUUUUGUCGGGGAGCAAAAGACGCCACGUGUGGCGUUCCGAGAGUACCCGAAGAAAAAGCAUCGGCUAACUCCGUGCCAGCAGCCGCGGUAAUACGGAGGAUGCGAGCGUAAACCGGUUUUAUUGGGUUUAAGGGGGGCGCAGGCGGAAGAGCAAGUCAGCGGUAAAAUUGAGAGGCUCAACCUCUUCGAGCCGUUGAAACUGGUUUUCUUGAGUGAGCUAGAAGUAUACGGAAUGCGUGGUGUAGCGGUGAACUGCCUAGAUAUCACGCAGAACUCCAAUUGCGACGGCAGCAUACCGGCGCUCAACUGACGCUCAUGCACGAAAGUGUGGGUAUCGAACAGGAUUAGAUACCCGAGUAGUC
Molecule: ribosomal RNA, 459 nt
Filed under: uncultured bacterium
Lineage: Bacteria
Description: partial 16S ribosomal RNA
Rfam family: Bacterial small subunit ribosomal RNA
Source: RNAcentral